UUUUGGGUAAGAUAUGCUUGGAGAAAAGAGAACAUCUUAAACUAUGGAGCCUUGCCUUUUCAUGACGUUUGUUACCAUCCAGUUAAUCUAUCAAUUGAGAAAUCAGAAUCCAGCUACAUGGAAGGAGGAGAACCAUAUAAGCAUCUCCUCAGUUAGCUCUUCCUUCUUCAUUGAAGCUUUACCUCCAUUGAGUGCAAAUCUGCAUAUCGGACAGGUUCUGUGACCCAAACU
Telopea speciosissima is the source of this 231-nucleotide long non-coding RNA. RefSeq lists it as uncharacterized. NCBI's taxonomy places the organism in Eukaryota, Viridiplantae, Streptophyta, Magnoliopsida, Proteales, Proteaceae. The record is from RefSeq and is a predicted model, not a curated record. The transcript is spliced from 3 exons.